This 795-nucleotide ribosomal RNA is filed under the name uncultured Planctomyces sp. Its description in RNAcentral is "bacterial SSU rRNA". It matches the Rfam family "Bacterial small subunit ribosomal RNA", at positions 53 to 859 of the family's 1533-position model. Lineage: Bacteria; Pseudomonadati; Planctomycetota; Planctomycetia; Planctomycetales; Planctomycetaceae. The record is from RNAcentral.
GCAUGCAGUCGAGCGAGAACCAUUUCUUCGGAUUUGGGGAAAGCGGCGAACGGCGUAGUAAUGCGUAGGAACGUACCCCUCGGUCGGGAAUAACCACGGGAAACUGUGGAUAAUGCCCGAUGAUCUCUGCGGAGCAAAGGUGAGAUUCCGCCGGGGGAGCGGCUUACGUGAUAUUAGCUUGAUGGUGAGGUAAUGGCUCACCAUGGCGAUGAUGUCUAGGGGGUGUGAGAGCAUGGCCCCCACGACCGGAACUGAGACACUGUCCGGACACCUACGGGUGGCUGCAGUCGAGAAUCUUCGGCAAUGCGCGAAAGCGUGACCGAGCGAUGCCGCGUGGUGGAUGAAGGCCCUUGGGUUGUAAACACCUGUCAGAGGGGAUGAAAUCCCGGAAGGUUAUCCUCCCGGGUUGACAGAGCCUCAAAGGAAGCACGGGCUAAGUACGUGCCAGCAGCCGCGGUAACACGUACUGUGCGAACGUUAUUCGGAAUCACUGGGCUUAAAGGGUGCGUAGGCGGCGAAUCAAGUCAGGUGUGAAAGGCCUGAGCUCAACUGAGGCAUUGCGCUUGAAACUGAUUCGCUUGAGUAUUUCAGGGGUGUGCGGAACUGCCAGUGGAGCGGUGAAAUGUGUUGAUAUUGGCAGGAACACCGGAGGCGAAAGCGGCACACUGGGGAAUAACUGACGCUGAGGCACGAAAGCCAGGGUAGCGAACGGGAUUAGAUACCCCGGUAGUCCUGGCUGUAAACGAUGAGCACUGGGCGGGAGGAAGGUUACUUCUUCCUGCCGCAGCGAAAGCG